This is a long non-coding RNA of Portunus trituberculatus (swimming crab), 2325 nucleotides long. RefSeq lists it as uncharacterized. Lineage: Eukaryota; Metazoa; Arthropoda; Malacostraca; Decapoda; Portunidae. The record is from RefSeq and is a predicted model, not a curated record. The transcript is spliced from 4 exons.
UAAAUGAGAGGUUUAUAACAAGUCACAGGUAGUCUAAUGCAACAAAGUGGAAUCUGGCUAGCAGAAUCUUCAGAUAAACUUCAUAAAUAGCCCCUAGAAUCUUUUCAAUGUCUCUACAUUUUGGGUUAACUACAUGUUGAGACCAGGGGGGGAGUCAGGCCUGGGAGGAGCAGGGAGGUGGUUUGUCCGAAAGGAAUCAUAGGAAGAAAACGACUUGCUUUCCUUGGCAGUUCCUCUUAUCCUUUCAUGUUUUUAACCAUACCAGUAUGUGUUAACGCAAAUCAACUUCAUUUGACUUAUAUACAAAGACGAAGAACACAUGCGGAUAUAAACCACGACUGUGUGUCAUCGAGUUUAGGAAAAAGAUUCGGACACACCCGAGGCAAUGAAGCUUGAGGUCCUAGCGGGCGAUCAGUUUGGCUUAGCAAAUUUAUGAGUGCAGUGGUAGUGUGUUGGGUUGCGUUGCGUUCUUUAGGGGUCACGUGGCUAGUGUUUUAGUGCUCUGUCUCCACCCUCGCUGUCGUCUUUUCCAUGUGUUGGUAAGUACCAUGUCACAGGUUCAUCGCGGGACAACGCGGGACAGCGCUGGGAGCAACCCUUCGUACCAACAGAUAAGGAAAGAUACGGUUUCCUAGGUCGUUAGGGUGUUAGGUUGUUAGGCUGCUAACCUCUGAUUGCCUUUCAGGUAUAUUAAUAGUGUAGAUUAUUCCACAGCAAUGCCAUGAACAGCAGUGACGAGACACUUAUAACGGAUAUUAAAGAUGGGUGGAGAAAGACGCCACUUAUAAAGGAUAUUAAAGAUGGUUGGAGAAAGACGCACGAUCCGCAGUUAUACAUAGCAUUGUGUGGAAAUUGUUGGAGAGAAGAUGGCAUUGCGAGGAAGAGACGCUUGCUGCAGAAAAGCACGCGCACGCUACGAUCUCGGAGGAAAAAGAAACUGGUUGAAGUGAAAGCUGCCGCUCCAGCUGGCAAUGGAGUCAACGUGUCACGGUGAGGAAAAUGGUCUUGCAAACAUUAGGCUCUACUAAAAUCAUGGCUGCUGAUCGCGCAUAUUACCUCCAAGGUCGUAAUUUCAAUAGGUUUAGGGAGUUAAUUCCUUGGAUUUAGGUGCUAAUCUCAUGGUCUUUCAGGUGCAAAUCUCUCUAGGUAUAGGAACUAAUCUCAUUUCCUUUCAGGUGCUAAUCUUACUGCCUUUCAGGUGCUAAUCUCACUGCCUUUCAGGUGCUAAUCUCGUUGCCUUUCAGGUGCUAAUGUCGUUGCAUUUCAGGUGCUAAUUUCAGUGACUUUCAGGUGCUAAACUCGUUGCCUUCCAGGUGCUAAACUCGUUGCCUUCCAGGUGCUAAACUCGUUGCCUUCCAGGUGCUAAACUCGUUGCCUUACAGGUGCUAAACUCGUUGCCUUACAGGUGCUAAACUCGUUGCCUUCCAGGUGCUAAACUCGUUGCCUUCCAGGUGCUAAACUCGUUGCCUUGCAGGUGCUAAACUCGUUGCCUUGCAGGUGCUAAACUCGUUGCCUUGCAGGUGCUAAACUCGUUGCCUUCCAGGUGCUAAACUCGUUGCCUUCCAGGUGCUAAACUCGUUGCCUUCCAGGUGCUAAACUCGUUGCCUUACAGGUGCUAAACUCGUUGCCUUACAGGUGCUAAACUCGUUGCCUUACAGGUGCUAAACUCGUUGCCUUACAGGUGCUAAACUCGUUGCCUUACAGGUGCUAAACUCGUUGCCUUACAGGUGCUAAACUCGUUGCCUUACAGGUGCUAAACUCGUUGCCUUACAGGUGCUAAACUCGUUGCUUUUCAAGUAGUGCUAAUCUUCAUACUUGGCUAAUCUCAUUACUCAUUACAGUUGUUGGACAGUGAUGGUAACCAUCUUGGCCUGAUGAGGUAUGCUGUUCCAUCAAUUGACCUGUUCCCACCUCCUUCUCAACUUCACCAUUUAGCUAAAUCACGGCUUCACCAUUAGCUAAAUUUGUUUCAAAAUCCGAGAUAUUGUACGUGUCAGGCAGACCAGGCAACAAUGAGCAGCUGGCCAUAGCGACACCCCCUUGAGGGGAUAAUAGUCCUACAGUGAGGGAGACCUGGAGCCAUGCCAUCAAUUUUCUAAUCACAAGUCUUUGCUGACUUUAAACAUUAAAGUACAAACUGAGUGUUAAUAAGACUGUCUUCAGAAUUCAUGCAUAAUUAUUUUUUAUGAUUACCAGAUUCUAAAGAAUUAAACCAAUAAAGAGUUUGUAAAAGCCUGAUUCUUAAUAUUUACAGUGCUAUCCAGCAAAAUUAUGCAAAGAAUUCAUAUUGCAUCCAGUAUGAUAUUUACACUGAAAUGAGACGAG